This is a long non-coding RNA of Choloepus didactylus (southern two-toed sloth), 941 nucleotides long. RefSeq lists it as uncharacterized. The transcript has 3 exons. NCBI's taxonomy places the organism in Eukaryota, Metazoa, Chordata, Mammalia, Pilosa, Megalonychidae. The record is from RefSeq and is a predicted model, not a curated record.
CACAUUUAAUUUUUUCUGUUACAGGUUUCUGAACUUUGACGUUACCUGUUAUCCUUAUGUUGUGCCAUCUUUGUCUCCAUACUUGAAGGUCCAGCUUGUAAAAAACAGCCUUGGGGAGAAAACUACUGGCCUGACGAUGCUUUGCUGGCUAAACCCAAAGUGCCCGAGUCCUGCCUGACGUGUGUGAAGGACAGCUACACUGACAUCCUCAUCGGUUCAUGAGGUGUCUCUGCCUGGUUCCACGUGCUCAAGGUGAUCAAAUGCUACAAGUGCACCAUCCCACAUGGCCAGGUGAUCUUCAUCUCAACAGCUGGGCCUGGGUGGCCCCAGGGACCCCAGGACCUGGGUCUCCUGCCUCACAGCCUGCUGCUGCUCCUGGGAAGUGAAGCCAGCAGGAGGGAGCUGUGUGGAGGAGGGCGAGGUGGGGCCACCCCCAAGGGCAAACCCGGAGAGCCCCCUGAUGGCGAUGGGAACUGCACCCUGAGCCGCUGGCAGGGCCGGGCCACCCCUGAAGGGAGAAAGUGAGUGUUUGCUUACUCUGAACUUUGCAGUAAGGGAUAGUUCAAGUAUAGACAAAAGGAGGAAGUAUGCUAUAAGCCUUUGCCACUUCCCUAGCCCAGAUUAUGUUGAAGUCAAUUCUAGACAGAUUGUUUCAUCCAUAAAUAUUUCAGUUUCUAUCUCUAAAAUAUUUUUGUAAGUAACACGAUUAAAAUACAGGCAUCAUCCCUUUAAAAAGUAACAAUUAAUAAUCCUUUCGUAUCAUCAAGUAUCCAGUCGAUGUUCAGAUUUUCUAAACGUCAUAUGUAUAUUUUUUGUGUGUUUUAAAUUAGGAUGAAAAUGAGGCUCUUGCUUUUGGAUUGAUUUAUAUGCCCCAGAUGGGUUCAUAAUACCCAGACUCUCCCCCUCCUCUCUGUCCCUCCCUCCCUGCUUCCCGCCUUUCC